GGCGAAAGCCUGACGGAGCAAUACCGCGUGAGGGAGGAAGGCUCUUGGGUUGUAAACCUCUUUUCUCAGGGAAGAAUUAAAUGACGGUACCUGAGGAAUAAGCAUCGGCUAACUCCGUGCCAGCAGCCGCGGUAAUACGGAGGAUGCAAGCGUUAUCCGGAAUGAUUGGGCGUAAAGCGUCCGCAGGUGGCUAUGUAAGUCUGCUGUUAAAGAAUCUGGCUCAACCAGAUAAAGGCAGUGGAAACUACAUGGCUAGAGUGCGUUCGGGGCAGAGGGAAUUCCUGGUGUAGCGGUGAAAUGCGUAGAGAUCAGGAAGAACACCGGUGGCGAAAGCGCUCUGCUAGGCCGCAACUGACACUGAGGGACGAAAGCUAGGGGAGCGAAUGGGAUUAGAUACCCCAGUAGUCCUAGCCGUAAACGAUGGAUACUAGGCGUGGCUUGUAUCGACCCGAGCCGUGCCGUAGCUAACGCGUUAAGUAUCCCGCCUGGGGAGUACGCAGGCAACUGUGAAACUCAAAGGAAUUGACGGGGGCCCGCACAAGCGGUGGAGUAUGUGGUUUAAUUCGAUGCAACGCGAAGAACCUUACCAGGACUUGACAUGUCGCGAAUUGAGGUGAAAGCUUCAAGUGCCUUCGGGAGCGCGAACACAGGUGGUGCAUGGCUGUCGUCAGCUCGUGUCGUGAGAUGUUGGGUUAAGUCCCGCAACGAGCGCAACCCUCGUUUUUAGUUGCCAGCAUUAAGUUGGGCACUCUAGAGAGACUGCCGGUGACAAACCGGAGGAAGGUGGGGAUGACGUCAAGUCAGCAUGCCCCUUACGUUCUGGGCUACACACGUACUACAAUGCUACGGACAAAGGGCAGCAAGCAUGCGAAUGCAAGCUAAUCUCACAAACCGUGGCUCAGUUCAGAUCGCAGGCUGCAACUCGCGUGCGUGAAGGAGGAAUCGCUAGUAAUUGCAGGUCAGCAUACUGCAGUGAAUUCGUUCCCGGGCCUUGUACGCACCGCCCGUCACACCAUGGAAGCUGGUAGUGCCCGAAGUCAUUACCCCAACCGCUUGCGGAGGGGGAUGCCUAAGGCAGGACUGGUGACUGGGGUGAAGUCGUAACAAGGUAGCCGUACCGGAAGGUGUGGCUGGAUCACCUCCUUUAAAGGAGACCUACCCGCUCAGAUAUUGAAAACAAAUUGUGAUUAGAUAUUGAGUUGGUCAUCCGAUAAGGUCGGUCGCGACAGUUGUUUAUAGCUUUCAAACUAUAUUUUGGUUCGCAAGCGGGCUAUUAGCUCAGGUGGUUAGAGCGCACCCCUGAUAAGGGUGAGGUCCCUGGUUCGAGUCCAGGAUGGCCCACCUGAAGUCAAUUCAAAAUUUAUGCAAAAUUAAAAAUUUCAAAUGAAGAAUUUCUUGAUUUUGAAUUUUGAAUUGGUUGGGGGGGUUUAGCUCAGUUGGUAGAGCGCCUGCUUUGCAAGCAGGAUGUCAGCGGUUCGAGUCCGCUAACCUCCACCAGAAAGUGUAUGUAAUUCCGGAAAAAGUUCAGCAACUGAGCAAUAUUUGCCAGACUGCUGGGUGAAUUUCCAGUAAUUGAACCUUGAAAACUGCAUAGUGAUAGCGAAUAAGCAGGCAGACACAGACACUCAGAUAAUUUUGAGUUGUGUUUGUAUUGAUAACCAAUUUUUGAAUUGGUCAAGCUAAUAAGGGCUAACGGU
RNAcentral lists this small RNA (1697 nucleotides) under Tolypothrix distorta var. symplocoides UTEX B 424. RNAcentral describes it as "bacterial SSU rRNA". The stretch from base 1 to 1146 matches the Rfam family "Bacterial small subunit ribosomal RNA", at positions 374 to 1533 of the family's 1533-position model. Lineage: Bacteria; Bacillati; Cyanobacteriota; Cyanophyceae; Nostocales; Tolypothrichaceae. The record is from RNAcentral.